This 2979-nucleotide ribosomal RNA is filed under the name Triticum aestivum (bread wheat). Its description in RNAcentral is "partial small subunit ribosomal RNA". The record is from RNAcentral. Lineage: Eukaryota; Viridiplantae; Streptophyta; Magnoliopsida; Poales; Poaceae.
CCGUAUCCAGCCACGCAUGUCCUCCGCCGGCGACGGGGAAGACGGCGGCGGCGCCGCCGCCGACACGAUGGUCCUGGAGAUCACCGACGCAGCAGCAUCCCCCUCCUCCGCGCCUCCACCUCCCCCCAUCCCAGUCUCCGCGCUCGCCGCCCCACUCCCGUCCCCGACCGUCCUCGCGGUCCGCGCCGACCGGAGCAGGCUCAUCGAGAGCUCCUCCUACUUCCGCGCCCUCCUCGGCGGCAGCUUCAGCGAAUCGGGCAGCGGCUACGUGCGGAUCAGCUGCGACCUCGCCGCCGCCGUGCAGGUCCUCCGGUACCUCUUCGAGCCCCCCGCGAGCUUCGCGAUCUCGCAUCACAACUUCCUCCCGCUGCUGGAGGGUGCUCUGUUUCUCGCUGUCGAGAGCCUUCUAGUGGACUGUGAAAGGUGGUUCAGAACCGUGAGAUCUCGAAAUCCCUCCAUGGUGGUACCGUUGGAUUUCAUAAUCGAGGCCUGGUACUUCGCUCCAAAGCACGGGGUUACUUUUGUUGAAGACGUAUGUCCAGGAUAUCUAGCUCAGAAUUUUGUACAAGUUAUCUCCAGUAGGUCAUUUGUUCAUAUACCUUAUGAUCUGCUGUGCUCCACCAUUGAAUCCCCACACCUGACUGUGGAUAGUGAAAAGCAAUUGUGUGAAGCAAUUUUAUCUUGGGUUUCCGCAAGUAGGCAAUCCUGUGAACAAUCAGUCUCCAACUCAGCAGAUAACCAACUCUCCCUUCUUAGCAAGGUUAGGGUAUGCCUUUUACCUUUAGGAUUUGCAGCAGGUACAAAGAGAAACUGCUUUGAAUUUGGGAACAAUGCUGUAUGUAUGAUUCUUAAUCUGCUUAAGGACAGUUUGCAAACUCUACUGCAUACAGUUACCGAUGACAACUUGGAUAGUUACCGUAUUCGAUUAACAGAAUACUCCAAGAAAAUAGUACUUUCGGGAUGUCCCCAGUUAACUACGCAAUUCCUAUACAUAUCGGCGCUCCCCACUGAUCUAGAUGCUGUAUUUAAGAGAACUAUAGUGAGCGAUGUUAACGACGGAUGUUUGAACCAUUACAAUGGGCUGGUGAAGAAGGCUAAAACCUUGUCAUUUAGAAAUGUACGCAUUGUGGAUCUCUCCAAAUGUCCAAAUGUACAUUUUGGUGCAGUAAUUUUAUGGAUGAAGUGGACAUUUCCAGAAUUGAGGACGUUCAUAGCUUCCUAUUGUUUACUCUUUCAGUUUGAAGAUUUGCAGUGUUUGUUACUGAGAUGCCCAUGGAUUAAUGAAAUCAAUUUGAGUAUUGAUACAAGCGUUAUACUAUCCAAGUACUCGAUUAUAUCUUCUAGAUCUGAAGUACGGCGUGACGUGAAUCGAAAUCUAUCUAGCUAUUACAUGCAAAGUGGAUUAUAUGGGACCUCAGGAAACCCAGUUUUCUCAAAUAUAUCAAAAUUGAUACUGGAAGGCCGAAAUGAUAUUACUGAUAUGAACUUGCUGGAGAUAUCCAUGCUGAAAAGCUCUCUAUGUUAUAUAAACAUUAAACAUUGCACCCUGUUGACAGACGAUGAUAGCUUUUCUUACCAUAAGGAUGAACAUGCUCAUGUUAUGGCAUUUAGGUUGCAAGAAUUGCAUCUGGAAGGCUGUGAAGGUAUUAGUUGUGCUGCUAUGUCCCAGCUAGUGAGUAAUAUGAAUAUUGUGAAGUCCUUAUGCUUAAGGGAGACAUCACUUGCAGAUGGUGCUCUCUGCAACUUUGUUGGCUCUUCACUUGAGUAUCUUGAUAUUUCGGAGACUGUGGUUUCUAUGGUCUCAUUGGCACCAGUUAUACGAAGAAACUCUAAUUUGAGCUGCUUGAAAACAGCUGGAUGCCGUAACCUGCUGUUUGAACAGGGUGAGGUACAAUCCACGAGUGGUAACAAGUAUGGCAGGUUUCUUCAGGAGAUAACCAGUACGUGCUAUUUGGAGGAUGUAGAAAUGGGCUGGGCAUUUUGCCCUGUUCGAGUUGAUGACCUCAUUCCUUCUUUUAGUAAAGUAAGGAGGAUGACAGUUGGCCUUGGCACAACAUUACCAGAGAAUAUCCUGCAUGCUCUUCCUGAGAUCUGCCCGUUUCUCGAGUCUUUGGUUCUUAGGUUUCAGGUAAUCUCUGACAGAGUUGUAAGAAAUCUAUUGGAAUCGUCAACAAAUCUUCAGGUGCUCUGCCUGCACUAUUGCCUUGGCAAUUUGACUUCAUUUAGCUUUCAAACAAUGGCACCAGCGUUAAGAAUAUUACGGCUCCAGUGGGUUACUCCAUGGAUCACAAAUGAUGAUCUGACAAUUCUUACACAGAAUUGCAAUUUAGUUGAACUUUUGCUGUCUGGUUGCAAACUCCUUGACUCCAGCUCUCAAGAGAUAAUCUCUUCUGGGUGGCCAAACUUGGCAUGUUUACAACUUGAGGAAUGUGGUCAGAUAACACUUGAUGGGGUUGAUUCUAUUUUAGAUUGUAAAGCUUUGGAAGAAGUCUUACUUAGGCACACCGGUAGAGGUAUUGGAAGAACCAUUAUAACAGAUGCUAUCAGAGAGCUACCGCUCCUAAGGAAGCUGGCGCUGGAUCUCUGCGACGCGUCCGAGGGAGGCUACGACACCCCGAACGUUCCGGAGGGGAAGAUGAUGAGGAGCGUGAGGAUGAGCAGGUGCAAGAAGUCGGUGGCGGCGGCGAGGUCGUGCUUUGGGGAGGCGUCCUCCUCGAGCUCGAACCGGAAGCCGGUGCAGCACAGGGAGACCAUCGUGCUGGAGUGGAGCAGCCGGCAGCUGACGACCACCGUAGUGGAAGAAAGACUCUAGUCGUGUAACGGAACUUCUUUCUUUCUUUGGAGAGAAAGACUGUAGAACAAUUUAUCUUUACUUGCAUAAUCGUCCAAUUAUUUGGCAGAGAAACCGGGAAAAUGGAACAAAAGUGUUUUGUGACGUUGUUUUGAAGGUUUUUAUAGUAAUAUGAAUGGCACGUUUUU